AUGCCCACCCAGCUCCGGCUUCUCCGGCGAGGCUACCGAGCCGCCGCCGCCGCCACCGUCGCGGCGUCCAAGGCAGGGGCGAAGAGGAAGGUUCUUGAUGGAACCCCGGCGGCGCUCGGCUUCCGGAUGCCGGCUGAGUGGGAGCCGCACGACCAGUGCUGGAUUGGGUGGCCGGAUGCUCAAGGAUUUUGGAGAGAUGCGGCUGCCCCUGCUCAAAAAGCCUUUGCAAAUGUUGUAGAUGUAAUCUCAAGGUUUGAGCCUGUCACUGUAUGCUGUAACGCUGCCCAGUACGCGAGGGUAGCCCAUUUGAUGGAACAUAAAUCCAACGUUAGAGUGGUAGAGAUGAGCGCCUAUCUUGUUUGGUUGCGUGAUUUGGGCCCCAGUUUUGUUGUGCGUGAAGGCGACGCAAGAUCGAGGAGAGAAAUUGCAGGGGUGGAUUGGCAGUACAAUGCAUAUGGAGGUUAUAAUGAUUUAUUUGGGCCAGAAGAUCAUCAGCUCAAUAGGAGAAAAGGACAUGAAGAACAUAUAACUCAAGACAACCUUGUUGCCAGGAAGGUUUUGGAAUUGGAGAGGAUUCCUAGGUUUGAAACCAAUUUUGUUCUUGAAGGUGGAAGCAUUCAUGUCGACGGAGAAGGAACAUGUAUCACCACUGAGCAGUGUUUAUGCCAUGGAAACAGAAAUCCCCAUAUGAGUAAGGAUGAGAUAGAGAACCAGCUGAAGACUCAUCUUGGUGUGUCGAAGGUCAUAUGGUUACCCAAAGGGCUUUUCGGGGAUGAAGUGAUCAGUGGGCAUGUUGACAACAUAUGCUGCUUUGCGGGACCAUCCACUGUCCUCUUAUCAUGGAUCGAUGACAAAUCUGAUCCUCAGCAUGAACAUUCAGCUGCCGCAUUCGAUGUUCUGUCCAAUACCACUGAUGCCAAGGGCCGGAAGUUAGAUAUUAUCAAGAUUCAUGUCCCUGGGCCACUGUACAUGACUGAAGAAGAAGCACAACCAUUUCUAGGCUUGGUGGCAUUAGGGCAGCAGAGGCUAGCUGGGUCGUAUGUGAACUUCUACAUCGCCAAUGGUGGGGUUGUAGCACCAGCCUUUGGUGACAAGUGGGAUGAAGAAGCACGCAAAGUUUUGGAGAAAGUGUUUCCCACACACGAGGUGGUGAUGGUGGAAGGGGGGAGGGAGAUUGUCCUCGGAGGAGGAAACAUUCAUUGCGCGACGCAGCAGCAACCUGCCGUUUGCUCCAAUCCCUCUGAUGCAGACACCAUGUAG
This 1260-nucleotide ribosomal RNA is filed under the name Triticum aestivum (bread wheat). RNAcentral describes it as "partial small subunit ribosomal RNA". The record is from RNAcentral. Lineage: Eukaryota; Viridiplantae; Streptophyta; Magnoliopsida; Poales; Poaceae.